UUUUGACAUUUUCAGAAAGCCAGCGGGAGANGCAGGUGUGCCUUCGGGAACUGUAAGACAGGUGCUGCAUGGCUGUCGUCAGCUCGUGUUGUGAAAUGUUGGGUUAAGUCCCGCAACGAGCGCAACCCUUAUCCUUGUUUGCCAGCACUUCGGGUGGGAACUCCAGGGAGACUGCCGGUGAUAAACCGGAGGAAGGUGGGGACGACGUCAAGUCAUCAUGGCCCUUACGAGUAGGGCUACACACGUGCUACAAUGGCGCAUACAGAGGGCGGCCAACUUGCGAAAGUGAGCGAAUCCCAAAAAGUGCGUCGUAGUCCGGAUUGGAGUCUGCAACUCGACUCCAUGAAGUCGGAAUCGCUAGUAAUCGUGGAUCAGAAUGCCACGGUGAAUACGUUCCCGGGCCUUGUACACACCGCCCGUCACACCAUGGGAGUGGGCUGCAAAAGAAGUGGGUAGUUUAACCUUCGGGAGGACGCUCACCACUUUGUGGUUCAUGACUGGGGUGAAGUCGUAACAAGGUAACCG
Molecule: ribosomal RNA, 525 nt
Filed under: uncultured bacterium
Lineage: Bacteria
Description: bacterial SSU rRNA
Rfam family: Bacterial small subunit ribosomal RNA
Source: RNAcentral